Molecule: ribosomal RNA, 253 nt
Filed under: uncultured bacterium
Lineage: Bacteria
Description: partial 16S ribosomal RNA
Rfam family: Bacterial small subunit ribosomal RNA
Source: RNAcentral
UACGAAGGGGGCUAGCGUUGCUCGGAUUGACUGGGCGUAAAGGGCGCGUAGGCGGUUCGUACAGUCAGACGUGAAAUUCCUGGGCUCAACCUGGGGGCUGCGUUUGAUACGUGCGGACUUGAGUGCGGAAGAGGGUCGUGGAAUUCCCAGUGUAGAGGUGAAAUUCGUAGAUAUCAGGAGGAACACCUGUGGCGAAAGCGGCGCACUGGACCACAACUGACGCUGAGGCGCGAAAGCUAGGGGAGCAAACAGG